GCCGGGGUGGCAGAGUGGUCUAUUGCGCAGGCCUUGAGAGCCUGUGACCCUUCGGGGUCUCGUGGGUUCAAAUCCCACCCCUGGCG
RNAcentral lists this transfer RNA (86 nucleotides) under Thaumarchaeota archaeon RBG_16_49_8. Its description in RNAcentral is "tRNA-Ser". It matches the Rfam family "tRNA". Rfam says of the family: Transfer RNA (tRNA) molecules are approximately 80 nucleotides in length. Their secondary structure includes four short double-helical elements and three loops (D, anti-codon, and T loops). RNAcentral also lists the same sequence under 2 other names. Lineage: Archaea; Thermoproteati; Nitrososphaerota. The record is from RNAcentral.